RNAcentral lists this ribosomal RNA (350 nucleotides) under uncultured microorganism. Its description in RNAcentral is "bacterial SSU rRNA". It matches the Rfam family "Bacterial small subunit ribosomal RNA", at positions 9 to 342 of the family's 1533-position model. The record is from RNAcentral.
GAGUUUGAUCGUGGCUCAGGAUGAACGCUGGCGGCGUGCCUAACACAUGCAAGUCGAACGGAGUUUAUGAGGAAGAAGCUUCGGCGGAAUUCUUAUAAACUUAGUGGCGGACGGGUGAGUAACACGUGGAGAACCUGCCUCUUACCGGGGGACAGCAGUUGGAAACGACUGAUAAUACCGCAUAAGCGCACGAGACCGCAUGGUCCUGUGUGAAAAGAUUUAUCGGUAAGAGAUGGCCCCGCGUCUGAUUAGCCAGUUGGCGGGGUAACGGCCCACCAAAGCGACGAUCAGUAGCCGGCCUGAGAGGGUGAACGGCCACAUUGGGACUGAGACACGGCCCAGACUCCUAC